GGAAUUUUCCGCAAUGGGCGAAAGCCUGACGGAGCAACGCCGCGUGAGGGAUGAAGGCCUCUGGGCUGUAAACCUCUUUUCUCAAGGAAGAAGAUCUGACGGUACUUGAGGAAUAAGCCACGGCUAAUUCCGUGCCAGCAGCCGCGGUAAUACAGAGGAUGCAAGUGUUAUCCGGAAUCACUGGGCGUAAAGCGUCUGUAGGUGGUUUAAUAAGUCAACUGUAAAAUCUUGAGGCUCAACCUCAAAACUGCAGUCGAAACUAUUAGACUAGAGUAUAGUAGGGGUAAAGGGAAUUUCCAGUGGAGCGGUGAAAUGCGUAGAGAUUGGAAAGAACACCGAUGGCGAAGGCACUUUACUGGGCUAUUACUAACACUCAGAGACGAAAGCUAGGGUAGCAAAUGGGAUUAGAUACCCCAGUAGUC
This 422-nucleotide ribosomal RNA is filed under the name uncultured eukaryotic phytoplankton. RNAcentral's name for it is "bacterial SSU rRNA". It matches the Rfam family "Bacterial small subunit ribosomal RNA", at positions 358 to 795 of the family's 1533-position model. The record is from RNAcentral.